UCUUCUCCCAAUUGGUAUAAAAUAAGCAACAAUAUCCUCCUUUGAAGCCUCUCUCUAUGUAGCCUGAAGUUCGCAAAGAGGAAGCUUUAACCCUCUGUGAGGUGAAUGCCAGGAAUUGAAGAGUAACUUACCAAAAGUCAUCCAGGAAGCUGGCAUGUGUGUGUUUGUAAAGGAAGAAGGACAGAGCCAGGGUGUUUUGUGUCAUGUAAGGACACACAUUGACCUUUGACAUGGAAACAGUUCUAGGUGGUGCACCCAGACAUAUCUGGCAAUGAACCUACACUGUGGAAACACCUGUGCCAAGACUUCCCAUCCGGGCAACACUGCCUGCUUGCUCUUCCUCGGCCCUGCCCAGCACAUCCUCCUCUGCUCUGACAGCCCCAGCCUAACCCAGAGACUGUACCUGGUCCCAUGUCAUUGCCUGUUGUCUCAUUCCUGAGAGAUUAAAACAAUUGUCAUCUACAUUUACAUUCAGAACACCCAGACCUGUGUAUUAUCCUAGAGAAAGAGGUGUUCCUCUUCAAGAAAGCAAUAAAAUGUGUCUCUCCA
This is a non-coding RNA of Ictidomys tridecemlineatus (thirteen-lined ground squirrel), 549 nucleotides long. The record is from RefSeq and is a predicted model, not a curated record. NCBI's taxonomy places the organism in Eukaryota, Metazoa, Chordata, Mammalia, Rodentia, Sciuridae.